UGAGGAAUAUUGGUCAAUGGACGGAAGUCUGAACCAGCCAAGUAGCGUGCAGGACGACGGCCCUAUGGGUUGUAAACUGCUUUUAUGUGGGAAUAAAGUCAGGGACGUGUCCCUGUUUGCAUGUACCACAGGAAUAAGGACCGGCUAAUUCCGUGCCAGCAGCCGCGGUAAUACGGAAGGUCCGGGCGUUAUCCGGAUUUAUUGGGUUUAAAGGGAGCGUAGGCUGGAGAUUAAGCGUGUUGUGAAAUGCCGCGGCUCAACCGUGGCACUGCAGCGCGAACUGGUUUCCUUGAGUGCGCUGAAAGUGGGCGGAAUUUGUGGUGUAGCGGUGAAAUGCUUAGAUAUCACGAAGAACUCCGAUUGCGAAGGCAGCUCACUGUAUCGCGACUGACGCUGAAGCUCGAA
Molecule: ribosomal RNA, 405 nt
Filed under: uncultured Prevotella sp.
Lineage: Bacteria; Pseudomonadati; Bacteroidota; Bacteroidia; Bacteroidales; Prevotellaceae
Description: bacterial SSU rRNA
Rfam family: Bacterial small subunit ribosomal RNA
Source: RNAcentral